Dipodomys spectabilis (banner-tailed kangaroo rat) is the source of this 382-nucleotide long non-coding RNA. RefSeq lists it as uncharacterized. The transcript has 3 exons. The record is from RefSeq and is a predicted model, not a curated record. Lineage: Eukaryota; Metazoa; Chordata; Mammalia; Rodentia; Heteromyidae.
GGUCCGGCGGCCAGACGCCGAGAGGUCGUGGGCAGCAGUUCGUGCGUGGUCGGCAGGCCUGAAGACUUGGCCAUCGUCCUCCGCUGUGGCCAAGAUCGGAAAGAGUUCAGGGCGUGAGGCGAAUUACUGGGCGCCACGAGAUCGAGGAUGGGGCCGGGAACUUUGGAGAUACUUGGUUCGUGGUCACGUGAAGCCACCGGUGUGACAGGUUGGAGGUUGAAGUGAAAAAUCUGGUUUGAAAGCUUCAUGGAGGACUACAGCAUUUCAAUCCUGAAUCUGAUUCACUCCCUUUAUUGACUUAUUACUGUAUUAAAAAAUAAUGUAAUUGGGGCUGGGAAGGUGGCUCAGUGGUAGAAUGCUUGCCUCGCAUGCAUAAGCCCUG